This 68-nucleotide transfer RNA is filed under the name Ptygomastax nihilsulcus. Its description in RNAcentral is "tRNA-Ser". It matches the Rfam family "tRNA". From Rfam's summary of the family: Transfer RNA (tRNA) molecules are approximately 80 nucleotides in length. Lineage: Eukaryota; Metazoa; Arthropoda; Insecta; Orthoptera; Eumastacidae. The record is from RNAcentral.
AGUUAAUUAACUUAAAUAAAGUUUAUGUCUUGAAAACAUAAUAUAGAAGAUUCUACUUCUAUUAACUU